ACGGGAGGCAGCAGUGAGGAAUAUUGGUCAAUGGGCGAGAGCCUGAACCAGCCAAGUAGCGUGAAGGAUGACUGCCCUAUGGGUUGUAAACUUCUUUUGUCCAGGAAUAAAAAAGCCCUCGCGCAGGGUUCUUGCAGGUACUGGUUGAAUAAGGACCGGCUAAUUCCGUGCCAGCAGCCGCGGUAAUACGGAAGGUCCGAGCGUUAUCCGGAUUUAUUGGGUUUAAAGGGUGCGUAGGCGGGAAGUCAAGUCAGCCGUAAAAUCGCCGGGCUCAACCCGGUCCCGCGGUUGAAACUGUCUUCCUUGAGUACACUAGAGGGCGAUGGAAUUCGUGGUGUAGCGGUGAAAUGCAUAGAUAUGGCGAAGAACUCCGAUUGCGUAGGCAGCUGACCAGGCCGUAAAUGACGCUCAUGCACGAAAGUGCGGGGAUCGAACAGGAUUAGAUACCCUGGUA
RNAcentral lists this ribosomal RNA (454 nucleotides) under uncultured Bacteroides sp. RNAcentral's name for it is "partial 16S ribosomal RNA". It matches the Rfam family "Bacterial small subunit ribosomal RNA", at positions 341 to 792 of the family's 1533-position model. The record is from RNAcentral. Lineage: Bacteria; Pseudomonadati; Bacteroidota; Bacteroidia; Bacteroidales; Bacteroidaceae.